GUAAGCGCACGCAGGCGGUCUGUCAGUCGGAUGUGAAAUCCCCGGGCUCAACCUGGGAACUGCAUUCGAAACUGGCAGGCUGGAGUCUUGUAGAGGGGGGUAGAAUUCCAGGUGUAGCGGUGAAAUGCGUAGAGAUCUGGAGGAAUACCGGUGGCGAAGGCGGCCCCCUGGACAAAGACUGACGCUCAGGUGCGAAAGCGUGGGGAGCAAACAGGAUUAGAUACCCUGGUAGUCCACGCUGUAAACGAUGUCGACUUGGAGGUUGUUCCCUUGAGGAGUGGCUUCCGGAGCUAACGCGUUAAGUCGACCGCCUGGGGAGUACGGCCGCAAGGUUAAAACUCAAAGGAAAUUGACGGA
Molecule: ribosomal RNA, 357 nt
Filed under: uncultured bacterium
Lineage: Bacteria
Description: bacterial SSU rRNA
Rfam family: Bacterial small subunit ribosomal RNA
Source: RNAcentral